GCAUUUAUGGGCUUCUAAAAAAGAUUGCAACUGAAAGCAACAGUUCCUCAACAGUUCAAAAAAAACCCAAAACAGCAAACAGUUCCUUGUCUCACUGUCCUUGCUCACUUCCAAAGAGUCCUUAGCUUUCAGUCUCUAUCAUUAUAAUUAUAUGCCUUUCUUUCGUCUUCAUGCUUCUUUCACGCCUUUUUUCCCAUUCCGCCUUUUUUUUUUUUUAUAAAGAUAAGGUUAAUUUAAAAAAAAAACAAAAGAGAGAGUCCAAUCCAUUAUAUCAAACAGGGUCCAAAAGGAGUACAAAGUAAAAACAAAUAUAGACCUAAGAAGACUUAGCCCCUAACGUACACAGAGCCCAAGCUAGGCCCAAAAGCUAAACAGGAAAAUGCCCUCAUCAGUCAAGCCCAGUCCAAAAGAUUGUUGCCCUAAUUCGAAAAGCAGACCCGAAACUGGAUGGCAACCAAGAUCUUCGUUGAAGCGACACUGUUGGGUUCAUCUUUUGUCGAAUAGAAAGUGCCGGAUCUGCACAGGAGUUUUCAGCAGAGACAGGAGCUCCACCAAAGAAAACGACAUGCAGAGACAAAAACACCAAAGGUUUAAGGCAAUUGUGGAGAAGCCCAACACAUGAGGCAAAGGACAGAUCUUGACGGGGAGGGAAAUUGGACAAAAUGACAGGUAGAGCUCCGCAGUCUCAUUCUCUCUUAGCAUUUGGGACCGGGAUACCAGCUGGUAGAUGUGGCACCGUGAUCGUCUCUGGGAUAGCCAGCCGUCUGCUUCCUCCAAACACACAACUCAACAGCAUCACUCGCCGAAGGAAUGGUCAAGAAGACCUGCAAAAGCACAUGCAAAACUACAAACACAAGUAACCUCAAACAUAAGCAGAUACCAAAAAACCCCUCACCAAUAACCCCAUACCUACUGAAGAAAUCAAUAAAAAAAAAAAUAUCUACAUCCCUCCAAUGGUGGGGAGAGCAGAACCCACGACUGGAGGAAAAGCAAGGCUUCCCCUAACUGGAAGGAGGGGAGGAAGCGAAUUGGAAUGGCAGAGAAAAUAGACGGGAGAGAAUUCUCUCUCUAAAACAACUGAGUUUCAUGUUUAUUUAAGUUGAAAAAUGACAUUUAAAUCAAUAAUCGUUAAAUUUAUAUAAAUUUAAAAUAUUCAAAUUUAAAUGAACCAUAAAAUUAAGAGUUAAUUUAAUUAUAUGUAUUAUUUAAUUUGAAAUUAAUCGUGUUUACGUGGAUCGCUUGCCAGUAGCUUCCGUGAUCAAGAUAUCACCUAUUUAGGACGAGGUGCAAAAGGGACGACCUCAGCACCUCCCUUUGAACCACUCUCCGUAGAAUCUUCAAUGGUAAUGGACUUUUGAGAGGCCGCUUCGAAGGCCGGGUUGAGAUGAGGAGUAGCAGGAGACUUAGAGGAGCUCAGAGUCCUGCCGUGAGUGGACGCUUUAGAGGCCUCAGAACGGGAGCCCUUAGAGACUGGCACCAAAACACGAGAAGAGACAAGGGUAGGAGAAGCAGUUCGGCUAGCUACCUGGGGAGAGAUGGCGUGAGCGAUCUCCCGAGACACGUCGGUUACAGAUCGACUAGUCCGAAAGGCCUCCAG
Molecule: long non-coding RNA, 1597 nt
Filed under: Manihot esculenta (cassava)
Lineage: Eukaryota; Viridiplantae; Streptophyta; Magnoliopsida; Malpighiales; Euphorbiaceae
Description: long non-coding RNA (MESC_LNC006042)
Source: RNAcentral